Molecule: ribosomal RNA, 537 nt
Filed under: uncultured archaeon
Lineage: Archaea
Description: bacterial SSU rRNA
Rfam family: Archaeal small subunit ribosomal RNA
Source: RNAcentral
CAGCAGCCGCGGUAACACCGGCGGCCCGAGUGGUGAUCGUGAUUAUGGGUCUAAGGGCCGUAGCCGGUUGGUCAGUCCUCCGGGAAAUCUGAUAGCUCAACUAUUAGGCUUUCGGGGGAUACUGCCAGACUUGGAACCGGGAGAGGUAAGAGGUACUACAGGGGUAGGAGUGAAAUCUUGUAAUCCCUGUGGGACCACCUGUGGCGAAGGCGUCUUACCAGAACGGGUUCGACGGUGAGGGACGAAAGCUGGGGGGCACGAGCCGGAUUAGAUACCCGGGUAGUCCCAGCCGUAAACGAUGCUCGCUAGGUGUCAGGCAUGGCGCGACCGUGUCUGGUGCCGCAGGGAAGCCGUGAAGCGAGCCACCUGGGAAGUACGGCCGCAAGGCUGAAACUUAAAGGAAUUGGCGGGGGAGCACAACAACGGGUGGAAGCCUGCGGUUUAAUUGGACUCAACGCCGGACAACUCACCGGGGGCGACAGCAAUAUGUAGGCCAAGCUGAAGACUUUGCCUGAAUCGCUGAGGAGUGGUGCAUGG